This 125-nucleotide ribosomal RNA is filed under the name Actinomycetota bacterium. RNAcentral describes it as "Actinobacteria bacterium partial 23S ribosomal RNA". It matches the Rfam family "Bacterial large subunit ribosomal RNA", at positions 1 to 124 of the family's 2925-position model. Lineage: Bacteria; Bacillati; Actinomycetota. The record is from RNAcentral.
AACCAAGCUACUAAGGGCAUACGGUGGAUGCCUAGGCGCCAGGAGCCGAUGAAGGACGUGGUAGGCUGCGAUAAGCUCCGGGGAGCCGCCGAACAGGCUUUGAUCCGGAGAUCUCCGAAUGGGGG